AACGCACCUUGCGCUCCGUGGUAUUCCGCGGAGCAUGCCUGUUUGAGUGUCGCGCCCCUCUCUCAACCCCUCGGUCUGCGAAGACGUCGAUGCGGGCUUGGAUCGUGGCCGCCGUGCUCGACCUGUAUGGUCGACGGCCGAAAUGGAUGGCGAGCGCCUUGCCGGCGCGCGGUUCGACCGGAACGUUGUACGCAUCCUCGUUCUCGGGACGCGCGCCGUGGCGGCGCUGCGAAUUGCGCACACCUUUGUGACCAUUGACCUCAAAUCAGGCAGGACGACCCGCUGAACUUAA
This 292-nucleotide unclassified non-coding RNA is filed under the name uncultured Elmerina. RNAcentral's name for it is "partial contains 5.8S ribosomal RNA, internal transcribed spacer 2, and large subunit ribosomal RNA". The stretch from base 1 to 52 matches the Rfam family "5.8S ribosomal RNA", at positions 103 to 154 of the family's 154-position model. Lineage: Eukaryota; Fungi; Basidiomycota; Agaricomycetes; Auriculariales; Aporpiaceae. The record is from RNAcentral.